This 472-nucleotide ribosomal RNA is filed under the name uncultured bacterium. Its description in RNAcentral is "partial 16S ribosomal RNA". It matches the Rfam family "Bacterial small subunit ribosomal RNA", at positions 28 to 507 of the family's 1533-position model. The record is from RNAcentral.
GACGAACGCUGGCGGCGUGCUUAACACAUGCAAGUCGAACGCUGAAGCUUGGUGCUUGCACUGGGUGGAUGAGUGGCGAACGGGUGAGUAAUACGUGAGUAACCUGCCCUUGACUCUGGGAUAAGCCUGGGAAACUGGGUCUAAUACUGGAUACGACAUGUCACCGCAUGGUGGUGUGUGGAAAGGGUUUUACUGGUUUUGGAUGGGCUCACGGCCUAUCAGCUUGUUGGUGGGGUAAUGGCUCACCAAGGCGACGACGGGUAGCCGGCCUGAGAGGGUGACCGGCCACACUGGGACUGAGACACGGCCCAGACUCCUACGGGAGGCAGCAGUGGGGAAUAUUGCACAAUGGGCGGAAGCCUGAUGCAGCGACGCCGCGUGAGGGAUGACGGCCUUCGGGUUGUAAACCUCUUCCAGCACGGAAGAAGCGAAAGUGACGGUACGUGCAGAAGAAGCGCCGGCUAACUACGUG